AGUGAACGCUGGCGGUAGGCCUAACACAUGCAAGUCGAACGGCAGCACAGUAAGAGCUUGCUCUUACGGGUGGCGAGUGGCGGACGGGUGAGGAAUACAUCGGAAUCUACUUUUUCGUGGGGGAUAACGUAGGGAAACUUACGCUAAUACCGCAUACGACCUACGGGUGAAAGCAGGGGAUCUUCGGACCUUGCGCGAUUGAAUGAGCCGGUGUCGGAUUAGCUAGUUGGCGGGGUAAAUGCCCACCAAGGCGACGAUCCGUAGCUGGUCUGAGAGGAUGGAGCGCCACCGUGGAAUUGAAGAGCGCGCAGGACCCUUAGGGGGGGCCGAGGUGGGGAAUAGGGGCAAAAGGGCGCAACUUUGAACCAGCCACACCGGGGGGGUGAAGAAAGCCCUUGGGUGGGAAAACCCUUUUGUUGGGAAAAAAAACUCGCGGUUUAAAACCCCCGUGCCUGAAGGUAACCCAAAGAAAAGGCCCGGGUAACUCCCGC
Molecule: ribosomal RNA, 491 nt
Filed under: uncultured bacterium
Lineage: Bacteria
Description: partial 16S ribosomal RNA
Rfam family: Bacterial small subunit ribosomal RNA
Source: RNAcentral